ACUCCUACGGGAGGCAGCAGUGGGGAAUAUUGCACAAUGGGCGCAAGCCUGAUGCAGCAACGCCGCGUGAGCGAUGAAGGCCUUCGGGUCGUAAAGCUCUGUCCUCAAGGAAGAAUAAAUGACGGUACUUGAGGAGGAAGCCCGGCUAACUACGUGCCAGCAGCCGCGGUAAUACGUAGGGGGCAAGCGUUAUCCGGAAUCACUGGGGCGUAAAGGGGUGCGUAGGCGGUUUUCAAGUCAGAAGUGAAAGGCUAUGGCUCAACCAUAGUAAGCUUUUGAAACUGUUAAACUUGAGUGCAGGAGAGGAAAGUGGAAUUCCUAGUGUAGAGGUGAAAUUCGUAGAUAUUAGGAGGAACACCAGUGGCGAAGGCGACUUUCUGGACUGUAACUGACGCUGAGGCACGAAAGCGUGGGGAGCGAACAGGAUUAGAUACCCUGGUAGCACAGAG
Molecule: ribosomal RNA, 449 nt
Filed under: uncultured bacterium
Lineage: Bacteria
Description: bacterial SSU rRNA
Rfam family: Bacterial small subunit ribosomal RNA
Source: RNAcentral